GCUCCUGGAUUCAGCGGCGGACGGGUGAUUAAUGCCUAGGAAUCUGCCUGGUAGUGGGGGAUAACGUCCGGAAACGGGCGCUAAUACCGCAUACGUCCUGAGGGAGAARGUGGGGGAUCUUCGGACCUCACGCUAUCAGAUGAGCCUAGGUCGGAUUAUCUAGUUGGUGGGGUAAAGGCCUACCAAGGCGACGAUCCGUAACUGGUCUGAGAGGAUGAUCAAUCACACUGGAACUGAGACACGGUCCAUACUCCUACGGGAGGCAGCAGUG
RNAcentral lists this ribosomal RNA (271 nucleotides) under Pseudomonas aeruginosa. Its description in RNAcentral is "partial 16S ribosomal RNA". It matches the Rfam family "Bacterial small subunit ribosomal RNA", at positions 82 to 356 of the family's 1533-position model. The record is from RNAcentral. Lineage: Bacteria; Pseudomonadati; Pseudomonadota; Gammaproteobacteria; Pseudomonadales; Pseudomonadaceae.